CUCCCAACCGGUCCAUGGAACCCGAAAAGAAUGGAGUAUAUAUAAGGGCUGUGCAGGUGCUAUGUCUGACAGCUUUCUCGUUCGGGAUUCAGCCAAAAGCAGACAUGAAACUUCUGUGCUUCGUUACCCUAUUGGCACUCAUCGCCUCCACCCUAGCUGGAUACGGCCACGGAGGCUACGGCGGAGGCUUCGGAGGAGGCUUCGGAGGAGGCUAUGGAGGAGGGCACGGCGAUUACCAUCAUCCCGUUGGCCGCAAAUGGGCCUAUGGAUCUAAGGUUAAACAUCCACACGGCCACGGACAUGGAGGCUACGGAUACCACGGCUAGGGUAGCGCCUUGAUAGAUGGCUGCUGUUCAACCUCUGCGCUCGAGAAGCUCCAAGUGGAACUCAAAAAAGCCGUGGCAGACGUCGAAU
Molecule: long non-coding RNA, 414 nt
Organism: Ornithodoros turicata
Lineage: Eukaryota; Metazoa; Arthropoda; Arachnida; Ixodida; Argasidae
Exons: 3
Source: RefSeq, a predicted model, not a curated record